This 525-nucleotide long non-coding RNA is filed under the name Gossypium barbadense (sea-island cotton). Its description in RNAcentral is "long non-coding RNA (GBAR_LNC011443)". The record is from RNAcentral. Lineage: Eukaryota; Viridiplantae; Streptophyta; Magnoliopsida; Malvales; Malvaceae.
GCGAUUUUAAAAGAAUUAAUCAGGUAAAUUUGGUUGAAAAUGAGGUAUCGAGACCUCGGAUUUAUAAACCGAGCCAUAAAUAUUUUUAUAAAUAUUUAUGGAGUGUUAUUAAGUUAGUAUUAAAGUUUCGUUAGAAAAUUUUAACGUUUGGUUAGUCAAUUAAUUAAAAAGGACUAAAUUGAAAAUAGUGCGAAAUUUAUUAAAUUGUGAUUAAAUAGUUUAAGUGAUUAAAAAGGAGGGAUUUAAAAGGCAAUUGGACUCAAAUUGUAUGGGCUGGACGGUUGGGCAAGAAAAUCAGCAAAAAAGACAAGGAGAAACAAGGGUAAAAUGGGAAAUUUUGCAAAUUAAACAAUAAAACAAGACAAAUUUGAAAAAUCUAGAGAUAUUAUAAUUUUUCUUCAGCAAAAAUGCCAUGGGAGGUCUGAAAGCUGCUGGUUUUUCAUACUUUGACAUAUGUGAGUUCAAUUCUUACCUUUUUCUUUGAGAUUUUUAUGUUUUUGUGACUUUUACAAUUAGGUCCAAGUG